AGGGAGUAGCAGAUCUUCUAGUGAUCUGACCCAACCACGCGUCCCACCAAAACAGUGUAGGGUGGAAAAGUUUGAUAACAUCUGUCAAAGUGGAGCUGAGACACCUAAGAAAGGGUGGAGAAGGGGAUUCAGUGCUGAACAUUCUGAGAAGAUGAAAGAGUCUGUUUUGUCCUUGACGAGAAAUGAACAUGUAGAUUGCACCAACUUCUCAUGCCUUGAGUAGGAGUCAGAUAUCUGGGCUGGGCUCAGCUUGGCAGUUUCUCUGUUGGUCUUGGUUGGGCUCACUGUGUGUCUGCCAUCAGCUGAGCGUGGACAGACUGUCAGACGGGGGGUCAGGUUACCGAGCCCUUUUCUCUUGUCAUGCAGCAGAAUACUCCAGGGGCCUUCACCUAGUGGCUGCAAUGUUCCCAAGAGCAGCAAGAGAGGACACACCACUUGGCUCACAGAAACUUUUCAAGUCGCUGAUAGUGUCACAUUUGCUAGUGGGCCAUGGGACCAAAUCAAAUCACAUGGCCGAUGGCAGAUUCAAGGGGUAGGAGAAAAGACCACACCUCUUAAAGAGAGGGGAAGAGUGUGUGGUCAUUUUUUUGCAAUCUACACAAAUUAUAAAAUCCAGAGAGAUCGACCUUUGGGAUUUCGGCAAAUUCUAUCAUUUAGGCAAGGGUGGGAUUGGAAGCACUCCUUCCUGAGAAAACAAUAUACCUCAUUUUCCGAAAGCAUCUUAACGGCAGCUUAGCCAGGCCACAUCCCUAGAGUCCUGGCAUGGCAGAAACAAUUCAUGGUAAACAAAGUACAAAACCAGGAAAGACUGAGAGGAGUUUGUGGGGGAAACAGCCCACAUUAAAAAAUAAAGAGACUAUGUAUCAUUUUCCUCUUAAAUUCUUUCUCACUCUUCGCUACCCGGCAUCACUGCUUUUCCUUAUUCUCCCACUUCUCUUCCGUGUGUGUGUUUUCAGCAUUUACCAAAAGGCACCUGAUGAAACCUAGUCACAUGCGGGGGGAGGUGGGUCAGAGUGCGGUGCCAACCAGUGCAAUGUCCCGGAGGGGGAGGGACAGAAAAGCCCUUGGUGUCCCAGACUUAGAUACUGAGUGCACAGCGGAGAGAGAAAAAGCAGUUAGGUCCUCGGAAUGGAAAAAGAACACUUCACUCUUCAAAAAGGUCCACUUCCUUUUGUUUUGUCAUAGCCACUCGAGGAUUGUGAUUCAGAACAGCAAAUUGAAGAUAUUUCUGCGAUUGUUCCGGAGGUCACUGUCACCGAGCUCACCAAAGGCCUUCUGAAUUCAGUGUAACCGUCGUUGACAGUGACUGGGAAAUGAUGGGGACAGAAGGUGUAAUUUUAUCUUGAAGCUGUCAUCCCUGGUCAGCAGAAGGCUUUCUUCUAAUAGUAAAUUCUUCUGUCUCUAAACGUAGCACAGGACCUACAGAGAAGCAGUCACGACAUCUGAAGAUUGGCACACCAGAGCUAAUUCUCUUUCACAAUCGGAAAUGGAGUCCUGGCUCCACUAAGGAAGAGACCAACAAGUCUUCCCAGGUGGUGGCCGGAGAAGGUCCUGGGCCUGCUGGCUCUUGGAUGUGUGUCUUGCCCCUGGAGUCUGCAUCUGACUUCUAGUCAUUCCGAGAGCGAGCUUGAAAACGUCAGACCACGAGGGACAUUCUGGUUGGAAAGUCACUCUGGGAAAGAAGAGAAAGAGCCCCACAUUAAACCACAGACUGGCUAAAGAAAGUGACAGACUACUACACACGGGUCGCUGGGCAGAGCCAGGCACACCCUGACUCACAGGUCCUCUCGCUAGACUUCCUCGGUUCUCCCUCAGCCUUAGCUGGUGCUGAAGC
Tupaia belangeri chinensis (Chinese tree shrew) is the source of this 1834-nucleotide long non-coding RNA. RefSeq lists it as uncharacterized. NCBI's taxonomy places the organism in Eukaryota, Metazoa, Chordata, Mammalia, Scandentia, Tupaiidae. The transcript has 2 exons. The record is from RefSeq and is a predicted model, not a curated record.